This is a non-coding RNA of Rattus norvegicus (Norway rat), 69 nucleotides long. The record is from Rfam. Lineage: Eukaryota; Metazoa; Chordata; Mammalia; Rodentia; Muridae.
GGGGAUUUAGCUCAGUGGUAGAGCACUUGCCUAGCAAGCGCAAGGCCCUGGGUUCGGUCCCAAGCUCCG